AUUGAACGCUGGCGGAAUGCUUUACACAUGCAAGUCGAACGGUAGAGGGGGCAACCCCUUGAGAGUGGCGAACGGGUGAGUAAUAUAUCGGAACGUGCCCAGUCGUGGGGGAUAACGUAGUGAAAAUUACGCUAAUACCGCAUACGAUCUAAGGAUGAAAGCGGGGGAUCGCAAGACCUCGCGCGAUUGGAGCGGCCGAUAUCAGAUUAGGUAGUUGGUGGGGUAAAGGCCCACCAAGCCAACGAUCUGUAGCUGGUCUGAGAGGACGACCAGCCACACUGGAACUGAGACACGGUCCAGACUCCUACGGGAGGCAGCAGUGGGGAAUUUCGGACAAUGGGCGAAAGCCUGAUCCAGCCAUUCCGCGUGCAGGAUGAAGGCCCUCGGGUUGUAAACUGCUUUUGUACAGAACGAAAAGGUUUCUACUAAUACUAGGAGCUCAUGACGGUACUGUAAGAAUAAGCACCGGCUAACUACGUGCCAGCAGCCGCGGUAA
This 496-nucleotide ribosomal RNA is filed under the name uncultured bacterium. Its description in RNAcentral is "partial 16S ribosomal RNA". It matches the Rfam family "Bacterial small subunit ribosomal RNA", at positions 30 to 523 of the family's 1533-position model. The record is from RNAcentral.